AAUCCAUGCAUAGGACUCUUUCGCAACAAAUCCUUGAAUAUUUCUCAUGCUUUUUACAAGCUUUUAUCAUCCAUUUUCUUGAAUGAAGUUAAAUCAUUUCAGAGUUU
Molecule: small nucleolar RNA, 107 nt
Organism: Hibiscus syriacus
Lineage: Eukaryota; Viridiplantae; Streptophyta; Magnoliopsida; Malvales; Malvaceae
Source: RefSeq, a predicted model, not a curated record